ACGUAUGGUGCAAGCGUUAUCCGGAUUUACUGGGUGUAAAGGGAGCGCAGGCGGUGCGGCAAGUCUGAUGUGAAAGCCCGGGGCUCAACCCCGGUACUGCAUUGGAAACUGUCGUACUAGAGUGUCGGAGGGGUAAGUGGAAUUCCUAGUGUAGCGGUGAAAUGCGUAGAUAUUAGGAGGAACACCAGCGGCGAAGGCGGCUUACUGGACGAUAACUGACGCUGAGGCUCGAAAGCGUGGGGAGCAAACAG
Molecule: ribosomal RNA, 251 nt
Filed under: uncultured bacterium
Lineage: Bacteria
Description: partial 16S ribosomal RNA
Rfam family: Bacterial small subunit ribosomal RNA
Source: RNAcentral